AUGGAUCUCACCAUAUCUGCAGUUGCAAGCGAAUUUGUUAGCCGCUUCAUCUCCUUCCUGAUAAACAAGUACUCCUACUCAAGCCAUGUCCGAUUAGAGGAGAAGGUGGAGAGGUUGCAGCAUCUUCUAAUGAGAGUACACACAGUUGUUGAAGAAGCAGAUGGGAGAUACAUCAUGAACUCCAGGAUGGUGAUGCAGCUCCAGUUGCUUUCAGAGGCCAUGUACCAAGGCUACCAUGUUGUUGACACCUUCAGGUACCAAAGCUUUGUGGACAAAGGCAUCAUCGAGGUUUGCAACUCAUCUAUUUUGCCUUUCGCCAUUCCUCUUAAGUGUACUCGCACAAUUGCAUGUACAAGGAAGGACAAAGUAGUGAACCUUGAUUUAGAUGGUGCCUUGAAAAGCAUGCAAAGUGUUGUGGCUAACAUGAUGGAGUUUGUUGUGCUUUUGGGUGGAUGCGACCGCAUGGUGGGUAAACCAUAUGAUUCAUAUCUUUACUAUGAAAACAUCAUGUUUGGACGCCAUGCUGAAAAGCAAAUGCUCUUGAACUCCUUGUUGCAACAGAACACGCCUGGUGAUGAACCAGCUGUUCUUCCGAUCAUAGGUGGUUGCACAGUCGGCAAGAAAACAUUGGUUGCUCAUGUGUGUGGCGAUGAGAGGGUGCGGUCUCGCUUCUCUUCGGUUCUGCACUUGAGUGGAGAAAACCUUUUGAAAAUUCUUGAGCAUGAAAGUACCAUGUUAGGCAAAGUGUUGGUAGUUGUUGAGUUUGCUUCCAAUGUAGAUGACAAUGAUUGGAGAAAAUUCCACUCAUUUGUUAAAAGGUUGGCUAGAGGUAGCAAGGUGAUCAUCAUAAGUAAACUCCAAAGAUCAGCCAGAUUUGGAUCAGUGAAGCCAAUUUUCCUCAAUAAUUUGUCUUUCGAGGAAUUAUGGUACCUAUUCAAGACACUGGCAUUUGGAAGUGCAAACCCGGAAGAGCAUCCACGACUAGUACCAAUAGCACAAUAA
This 1002-nucleotide ribosomal RNA is filed under the name Triticum aestivum (bread wheat). Its description in RNAcentral is "partial small subunit ribosomal RNA". Lineage: Eukaryota; Viridiplantae; Streptophyta; Magnoliopsida; Poales; Poaceae. The record is from RNAcentral.